CAAAAACAUAGCCCCAGAUAAAAUCUGAGGUGUAACCUGCCCAGUGGUUUUAAAAUAAAAAGAUAAAAUCUUUGAAAUAAAACUAAAAGGACGCGGUAACCUUGACCGUGAUAACGUAGCAUAAUCACUCGCCAUUUAAUUGAUGGAUAGUAUGAAUGGUUGAACGAAUAUUCCACUGUCUUAAAAAGAAUCAAAUAAAAUUAAAAUAAUAGUUAAGAUGCUAUUUUAAAUUGUAAGACGAAAAGACCCUAUAGAGCUUAACUAUAACUUUUUUAUGUCAAUAAAAACAAAAAUUUUGAAUUUAGAAAAGUUGGUAGUUUAGUUGGGGCGACUACCUUCUAGAUUAAACGAAGGUAAGCAAAGUUUAUAAAAAACUUAUUAUAUAAACAAACUAUUUAAUAAUUAUAAAAGUAGGCUAUAAUGACCCGUUAGUUUUUAAUAAAAAAUCUAACGAUCAAUUAAUAAAAGCUACCU
This 474-nucleotide ribosomal RNA is filed under the name Orthopyxis sargassicola. Its description in RNAcentral is "partial 16S ribosomal RNA". It matches the Rfam family "Bacterial large subunit ribosomal RNA", at positions 1808 to 2468 of the family's 2925-position model. Lineage: Eukaryota; Metazoa; Cnidaria; Hydrozoa; Leptothecata; Campanulariidae. The record is from RNAcentral.